This 439-nucleotide ribosomal RNA is filed under the name uncultured bacterium. RNAcentral's name for it is "bacterial SSU rRNA". It matches the Rfam family "Bacterial small subunit ribosomal RNA", at positions 28 to 480 of the family's 1533-position model. The record is from RNAcentral.
GACGAACGCUGGCGGCGCGCCUAACACAUGCAAGUCGAACGAGAGAUGAGGAGCUUGCUCUUCAAAUCGAGUGGCGAACGGGUGAGUAACGCGUGAGGAACCUGCCUCAAAGAGGGGGACAACAGUUGGAAACGACUGCUAAUACCGCAUAAGCCCACGGCUCGGCAUCGAGCAGAGGGAAAAGGAGCAAUCCGCUUUGAGAUGGCCUCGCGUCCGAUUAGCUGGUUGGUGAGGUAACGGCCCACCAAGGCGACGAUCGGUAGCCGGACUGAGAGGUUGAACGGCCACAUUGGGACUGAGACACGGCCCAGACUCCUACGGGAGGCAGCAGUGGGGAAUAUUGCACAAUGGGGGAAACCCUGAUGCAGCGACGCCGCGUGGAGGAAGAAGGUCUUCGGAUUGUAAACUCCUGUUGUUGAGGAAGAUAAUGACGGUACUC